AGAGUUUGGAAUCCAUGGCUCAGAGUGAACGCUGGCGGUAGGCCUAACACAUGCAAGUCGAACGGCAGCACAGCAGUAGCAAUACUGUGGGUGGCGAGUGGCGGACGGGUGAGGAAUACAUCGGAAUCUACCUUUUCGUGGGGGAUAACGUAGGGAAACUUACGCUAAUACCGCAUAAGACCUUCGGGUGAAAGUGGGGGACCUUCGGGCCUCACGCGGAUAGAUGAGCCGAUGUCGGAUUAGCUUGUUGGCGGGGUAAAAGCCCACCAAGGCGACGAUCCGUAGCUGGUCUGAGAGGAUGAUCAGCCACACUGGAACUGAGACACGGUCCAGACUCCUACGGGAGGCAGCAGUGGGGAAUAUUGGACAAUGGGCGCAAGCCUGAUCCAGCCAUACCGCGUGGGUGAAGAAGGCCUUCGGGUUGUAAAGCCCUUUUGUUGGGAAAGAAAUCCUGCCGGUUAAUAACCAGUAGGGAUGACGGUCCCAAAGAAUAGC
RNAcentral lists this ribosomal RNA (495 nucleotides) under barley rhizosphere bacterium JJ-2060. RNAcentral describes it as "bacterial SSU rRNA". It matches the Rfam family "Bacterial small subunit ribosomal RNA", at positions 1 to 491 of the family's 1533-position model. Lineage: Bacteria; Pseudomonadati; Bacteroidota; Sphingobacteriia. The record is from RNAcentral.